GUGUGUGGACCUGUGACUCUACAUGAAUGACUCAAGUGAAGAAACACGAGUGAAACCACUAUUUCAAAGGAAAAAGAAGAGGAAGAGGGGACAUCUUGAACAUUCGCAGUGGAACUUGAGUGCGCAUCUGCGCAAAGUCUCUCCAAAGUCACUUGGUAACUUGCGCGCACCACUGCAGCUCCAUUCUCAAGCAGUUUUGGGGGUCACGGCGAGGAGAGACUGUCGUCCGGCAGAAUGGCGUCAGACGUGGGCCGCAGCACUUGAGGUCAGCCGUUCACUCAGCGCACAGUGUUUAUUCUGCCUUCAGGUCCUCCUGGGAAGUUCCUACUUAAGAUUUCGGAAGUCAUAAUUAUGAUGUGAAGUGAAUUUGCUUGAAAUAAUACGGAUGAGUUGAGCAUAUUUAUGUGUGUCUUUAACCCAGCUAAAAAGGGAACGUUCACAGAACUGUUAAUACAAUGUUCAUUAAGAGUUAUCUGGUCUUUUAUAAAUUUCCCAAAAUUUUAGCACAAAAUAUUAUUAUAAAUCUUUCAUGGAAUGUUUUGUUUAUUGGUUUUGGAAUGUUCAGAGAAUGUUUUGAUCAUGUUUGCAAAAUUAUCAAAUUAUAAAACACAUUAAAAAGCACAUUUUGAAAGCGUUGGAUGUUUUGAAUGUUCACACAGUGUUAUAACUUAAUGGGAACAUUAUCAAAACAUUCUUUGAACUUUUUUGUUUGCUGGGAACUUGAAAAGCAUUUUU
Molecule: long non-coding RNA, 735 nt
Organism: Cyprinus carpio (common carp)
Lineage: Eukaryota; Metazoa; Chordata; Actinopteri; Cypriniformes; Cyprinidae
Source: Ensembl